RNAcentral lists this ribosomal RNA (267 nucleotides) under uncultured bacterium. RNAcentral's name for it is "partial 16S ribosomal RNA". It matches the Rfam family "Bacterial small subunit ribosomal RNA", at positions 87 to 353 of the family's 1533-position model. The record is from RNAcentral.
GCUGGCGACCGGCGCACGGGUGAGUAACACGUAUCCAACCUACCCUUUACUCGGGGAUAGCCUUUCGAAAGAAAGAUUAAUACCCGAUAGCAUAAUGAUUCCGCAUGGUUUCAUUAUUAAAGGAUUCCGGUAAAGGAUGGGGAUGCGUUCCAUUAGGUUGUUGGUGAGGUAACGGCUCACCAAGCCUUCGAUGGAUAGGGGUUCUGAGAGGAAGGUCCCCCACAUUGGAACUGAGACACGGUCCAAACUCCUACGGGAGGCAGCAUG